Molecule: non-coding RNA, 65 nt
Filed under: Crenobacter luteus
Lineage: Bacteria; Pseudomonadati; Pseudomonadota; Betaproteobacteria; Neisseriales; Neisseriaceae
Description: SAH sequence
Rfam family: SAH (S-adenosyl-L-homocysteine) riboswitch aptamer
Source: Rfam by way of RNAcentral
CAUUCCGGGGAGCGCUGCGAGGCAACCGCCCCAGGCCCGGACCGCAUCAACGGCGCUCACCUCGC